GCUUAACACAUGCAAGUCGAGGGGCAGCAUGGUCUUAGCUUGCUAAGGCCGAUGGCGACCGGCGCACGGGUGAGUAACACGUAUCCAACCUGCCGUCUACUCUUGGACGGCCUUCUGAAAGGAAGAUUAAUACAAGAUGGCAUCAUGAGUCCGCAUGUUCACAUGAUUAAAGGUAUUCCGGUAGACGAUGGGGAUGCGUUCCAUUAGAUAGUAGGCGGGGUAACGGCCCACCUAGUCUUCGAUGGAUAGGGGUUCUGAGAGGAAGGUCCCCCACAUUGGAACUGAGACACGGUCCAAACUCCUACGGGAGGCAGCAGUGAGGAAUAUUGGUCAAUGGGCGAGAGCCUGAACCAGCCAAGUAGCGUGAAGGAUGACUGCCCUAUGGGUUGUAAACUUCUUUUAUAAAGGAAUAAAGUCGGGUAUGGAUACCCGUUUGCAUGUACUUUAUGAAUAAGGAUCGGCUAACUCCGUGCCAGCAGCCGCGGUAAUACGGAGGAUCCGAGCGUUAUCCGGAUUUAUUGGGUUUAAAGGGAGCGUAGAUGGAUGUUUAAGUCAGUUGUGAAAGUUUGCGGCUCAACCGUAAAAUUGCAGUUGAUACUGGAUAUCUUGAGUGCAGUUGAGGCAGGCGGAAUUCGUGGUGUAGCGGUGAAAUGCUUAGAUAUCACGAAGAACUCCGAUUGCGAAGGCAGCCUGCUAAGCUGCAACUGACAUUGAGGCUCGAAAGUGUGGGUAUCAAACAGGAUUAGAUACCCUGGUAGUCCACACGGUAAACGAUGAAUACUCGCUGUUUGCGAUAUACAGCAAGCGGCCAAGCGAAAGCGUUAAGUAUUCCACCUGGGGAGUACGCCGGCAACGGUGAAACUCAAAGGAAUUGACGGGGGCCCGCACAAGCGGAGGAACAUGUGGUUUAAUUCGAUGAUACGCGAGGAACCUUACCCGGGCUUAAAUUGCAGAUGAAUUACGGUGAAAGCCGUAAGCCGCAAGGCAUCUGUGAAGGUGCUGCAUGGUUGUCGUCAGCUCGUGCCGUGAGGUGUCGGCUUAAGUGCCAUAACGAGCGCAACCCUUGUUGUCAGUUACUAACAGGUUCCGCUGAGGACUCUGACAAGACUGCCAUCGUAAGAUGUGAGGAAGGUGGGGAUGACGUCAAAUCAGCACGGCCCUUACGUCCGGGGCUACACACGUGUUACAAUGGGGGGUACAGAGGGCCGCUACCACGCGAGUGGAUGCCAAUCCCAAAAACCUCUCUCAGUUCGGACUGGAGUCUGCAACCCGACUCCACGAAGCUGGAUUCGCUAGUAAUCGCGCAUCAGCCACGGCGCGGUGAAUACGUUCCCGGGCCUUGUACACACCGCCCGUCAAGCCAUGGGAGCCGGGGGUACCUGAAGUGCGUAACCGCGAGGAGCGCCCUAGGGUAAAACUGGUGACUGGGGCUAAGUCG
Molecule: ribosomal RNA, 1438 nt
Filed under: uncultured bacterium
Lineage: Bacteria
Description: 16S ribosomal RNA
Rfam family: Bacterial small subunit ribosomal RNA
Source: RNAcentral